Molecule: long non-coding RNA, 266 nt
Organism: Daphnia pulicaria
Lineage: Eukaryota; Metazoa; Arthropoda; Branchiopoda; Diplostraca; Daphniidae
Exons: 3
Source: RefSeq, a predicted model, not a curated record
CAAUCUACAAAGAAUCCAGAACCAGGCCAUGCGUGACCUAACCAAGAAAAUGUUGGAACCCAAUCCCGAAAAAAGAAUGACAUCGUCGGAUGUCGCUAAAAAAUUAGAACAAAUCAGGGCGAAGGACAGGCCAUACCAAUUCGCCACCUCAGUGGCAGAUGAUAAUACUUCAAAUUUGAAACAAAUCAAAGUUAAUUAAAAAAAGGAAUUGGGAAGUGGAGGUUAUGGAAUAGUUUUCCAAGGCGAGUGGAAUAACAUUCAAGUGG